ACAGGAGAGACCAGUGUGUGAAAUAACUUCUUUCUUUGUGUCUUACAUUUAGAAAACCUCUCCCUGCCUCACUUCUGCUAAGCCCUGUUGGAGAACCAGAGCAGAGAUGACACAAUCCCAGUGGAGCACUUACCGAUGGUUGGCACCAAGAGAACAUCUGGUGUGGGCAGUGGCUGGAGCUCAGCAUCCUAGCAAGGAGCAGAAUGACGUCAGAGGCCCUGAGUCAUGGACAGCCACGUUAGGCCAAACC
Molecule: long non-coding RNA, 250 nt
Filed under: Manacus vitellinus (golden-collared manakin)
Lineage: Eukaryota; Metazoa; Chordata; Aves; Passeriformes; Pipridae
Description: lncRNA (ENSMVIG00005019126.1)
Source: RNAcentral